This 539-nucleotide ribosomal RNA is filed under the name Haemophilus influenzae 6P18H1. RNAcentral describes it as "partial 23S ribosomal RNA". It matches the Rfam family "Bacterial large subunit ribosomal RNA", at positions 2390 to 2925 of the family's 2925-position model. Lineage: Bacteria; Pseudomonadati; Pseudomonadota; Gammaproteobacteria; Pasteurellales; Pasteurellaceae. The record is from RNAcentral.
GUGUUUUUUUUAUAAAAAGGGGAAAAGGGGGCCCCUCUUCUUUUUCAAAAGGGGAUAAAAAAAGGUUUUUUUCCGGGGGAAAAAACGGGGUGAAAACCCCCCCCAAAAGUUUUUAUUUUGAGGGGCGGGGUUUGGGGCCCCUGGAAUUUGGGUUUAUCACCUUCCUGGGGGUGGAAGGAGGUUCCCAAGGGUAUGGGUUUUCCCCUUUUAAAAGGGUACGGAAGGUGGUUUUGAAAGUUGUGAGGCAGUUCGGUCCCUUUUUGCGGGGGGGUAGGAGAUUGGUUGGGGUUGUUCCUAGUACGAGAGGACGGAGUGGACGCACCACUGGUGUUCGGUUGUGUUGCCAGACGCAUUGCCGGGUAGCUAAGUGCGGAAGAGAUAAGUGCUGAAAGCAUUUAAGCACGAAACUUGCCAAGAGAUGAGUUCUCCCAAUCUAAGAGAUAGUAAGGGUUGUUGUAGACUACGACGUAGAUAGGUCUGGUGUAUAAGUGUAGUGAUACAUUGAGCUAACAGAUACUAAUUGCCCGAGAGGCUUAACU